Molecule: ribosomal RNA, 489 nt
Filed under: uncultured bacterium
Lineage: Bacteria
Description: bacterial SSU rRNA
Rfam family: Bacterial small subunit ribosomal RNA
Source: RNAcentral
GAUGAACGCUAGCGGCAGGCUUAACACAUGCAAGUCGAGGGGCAGCGUGGAGCAGCAAUGCUCUGACGGCGACCGGCGGAAGGGUGCGUAACACGUGAGCGACUUGCCCGUCACAGGGGGAUAACCGGCGGAAACGGCGACUAAUACCCCAUAUGAUGCGAUGCUGCAUGGCAUUGCAUUGAAAGAUUCAUCGGUGGCGGAUAGGCUCGCGGGACAUUAGCUAGACGGCGGGGCAACGGCCCACCGUGGCGACGAUGUCUAGGGGUUCUGAGAGGAAGGCCCCCCACACUGGGACUGAGACACGGCCCAGACUCCUACGGGAGGCAGCAGUGAGGAAUAUUGGUCAAUGGGCGGAAGCCUGAACCAGCCAUGCCGCGUGAAGGACUAAGGCCCUACGGGUCGUAAACUGCUUUUAUAAGGGAAUAAAGUGGGAGUCGUGACUCUUUUUGCAUGUACCUUAUGAAUAAGGACCGGCUAAUUCCGUGCCAG